CGUAGGUGGCAAGCGUUGUCCGGAAUUAUUGGGCGUAAAGCGCGCGCAGGCGGUCUUUUAAGUCUGAUGUGAAAGCCCCCGGCUUAACCGGGGAGGGUCAUUGGAAACUGGGAGACUUGAGUGCAGGAGAGGGAAGCGGAAUUCCAUGUGUAGCGGUGAAAUGCGUAGAGAUAUGGAGGAACACCAGUGGCGAAGGCGGCUUCCUGGCCUGUAACUGACGCUGAGGCGCGAAAAGCGUGGGGGAGCAAACAGGAUU
This 256-nucleotide ribosomal RNA is filed under the name uncultured bacterium. RNAcentral's name for it is "partial 16S ribosomal RNA". It matches the Rfam family "Bacterial small subunit ribosomal RNA", at positions 526 to 779 of the family's 1533-position model. The record is from RNAcentral.